GACGAACGCUGGCGGCGUGCUUAACACAUGCAAGUCGAGCGGUAAGGCCCUUUCGGGGGUACGACGAGCGGCGAACGGGUGAGUAACACGUGGGUGACCUGCCCUCAGCUCUGGGAUAAGCCUGGGAAACCGGGUCUAAUACUGGAUAUGACUCCAUGACGCAUGUUGUGGGGUGGAAAGCCUUGUGCGGCUGAGGAUGGGCCCGCGGCCUAUCAGCUUGUCGGUGGGGUGANGGCCUACCAAGGCGACGACGGGUAGCCGGCCUGAGAGGGCGACCGGCCACACUGGGACUGAGACACGGCCCAGACUCCUACGGGAGGCAGCAGUGGGGAAUCUUGCGCAAUGGGCGAAAGCCUGACGCAGCGACGCCGCGUGAGGGAUGACGGCCU
This 389-nucleotide ribosomal RNA is filed under the name uncultured bacterium. RNAcentral describes it as "bacterial SSU rRNA". It matches the Rfam family "Bacterial small subunit ribosomal RNA", at positions 28 to 417 of the family's 1533-position model. The record is from RNAcentral.